Molecule: ribosomal RNA, 651 nt
Filed under: uncultured Rhizophagus
Lineage: Eukaryota; Fungi; Glomeromycota; Glomeromycetes; Glomerales; Glomeraceae
Description: SSU rRNA
Rfam family: Eukaryotic small subunit ribosomal RNA
Source: RNAcentral
AAGCUCGUAGUUGAAUUUCGGGGUUAGUAGGUUGGUCAUGCCUCUGGUAUGUACUGAUCUCACUGAUUCCUCCUUCCUGAUGAGCCGUAAUGCCAUUAAUUUGGUGUUGCGGGGAAUUUGGACUGUUACUUUGAAAAAAUUAGAGNGUUUAAAGCAGGCUAACGCUUGAAUACAUUAGCAUGGAAUAAUGAAAUAGGACGUUCGAUCUUAUUUUGUUGGUUUCUAGGAUUGACGUAAUGAUUAAUAGGGAUAGUUGGGGGCAUUAGUAUUCAAUUGUCAGAGGUGAAAUUCUUGGAUUUAUUGAAGACUAACUACUGCGAAAGCAUUUGCCAAGGAUGUUUUCAUUAAUCAAGAACGAAAGUUAGGGGAUCGAAGACGAUCAGAUACCGUCGUAGUCUUAACCAUAAACUAUGCCGACUAGGGAUCGGAUGAUGUUAAUUUUUUAAUGACUCAUUCGGCGCCUUACGGGAAACCAAAGUGUUUGGGUUCCGGGGGGAGUAUGGUCGCAAGGCUGAAACUUAAAGGAAUUGACGGAAGGGCACCACCAGGGGUGGAGCCUGCGGCUUAAUUUGACUCAACACGGGGAAACUCACCAGGUCCAGACAUAGUAAGGAUUGACAGAUUGAGAGCUCUUUCUUGAUUCUAUGGGUG